GUAGGGUGGCAAGCGUUGUCCGGAAUUAUUGGGCGUAAAGCGCGCGCAGGGCGGUCCUUUAAGUCUGAUGUGAAAGCCCACGGCUCAACCGUGGAGGGUCAUUGGAAACUGGGGGACUUGAGUACAGAAGAGGAAAGCGGAAUUCCAAGUGUAGCGGUGAAAUGCGUAGAGAUUUGGAGGAACACCAGUGGCGAAGGCGGCUUUCUGGUCUGUAACUGACGCUGAGGCGCGAAAGCGUGGGGAGCAAACAGGAUUAGAUACCCUGGUAGUCCACGCCGUAAACGAUGAGUGCUAAGUGUUAGGGGGUUUCCGCCCCUUAGUGCUGCAGCUAACGCAUUAAGCACUCCGCCUGGGGAGUACGGCCGCAAGGCUG
This 373-nucleotide ribosomal RNA is filed under the name uncultured organism. RNAcentral's name for it is "partial 16S ribosomal RNA". It matches the Rfam family "Bacterial small subunit ribosomal RNA", at positions 526 to 896 of the family's 1533-position model. The record is from RNAcentral.